CAAAUGGCGGUUUAUAAAGUUCUCGACACCUGUCGCCAUCUCUUAAUUGCUUCAAAUCGCUAAAUUUCUAUGAAAUAAAAAUGAUUGUAAAAAAUGGGAUGAAAAUAACGAGUGCGUCGCGAUUGCGACCAUCGAAAGAAUAUCCCUGAGAACUACAUAUCAAAGUUGAUUUUACUGCAUCAAGGGCCACCAAGAUCUGCAACGAUACUGUGUUUUGCAAUAAUUAUCUUUAAAUCUUAACAACCCUAGAGACGGUGAUGGUGCUUGGAAAAUUUUGAAUGCCACCAAGGAUAAAAGUAUUCAUUCGAUGAGCACGCCGGGGUGGACUUGCAAGCUAUCUCCGACGCCAAAGAACGACUCAAAGAUGUUUUUGCUCGUCACACUAUGUGCUUCUGUUAGUCUCAUCAUUCUUUUCUAUUGGUACAAUAUGUUGUGGUGCUUCUUCUAUGGAUCCCUUACGAUAUCUUGUUGCUUCUGCGGUACGCUACUCGUAGUCUUGAUUCACAUUGCUUUGUCACCGAGACAUCAAACCGGAGCUGGAACUGCGAAGACCAUUGCAGAGAUGGAUGCAUUCCGUAAUAUGCUAAUGAAAGGCUACGAGCCCAAACCUCUGAAUGACAGAAAGCACUCACGUUACCCUGUUAUCUUUACGAGGCUAGUCGAUGGAGCCUUGCAGAAUCUUCUUGACUUGAUUUUCAGAGAUUUUGUUGGCUUCUGGUUAGAUGAUCUAGCCUUUGAUCCAAAGCAGAUCAUAGAUAAUAUGAAACAAGAUAUCUGGGGAGCUAUUCAAAGUCUACACGAACGAUUAUCGCGUGUAGAUCAUGCCAAGCUUGUAGCCUGCAGCAUCGUUAACAAAGUCACGUUUCAUUUCGAGAAAAUCAGAAUCGCACAAGCUGCUGUAUCGGAAGGAGAGGACCCAGUUUUUAUUUUAUCGGCACACCUUAUGUCAAGUACAGCAGAAUUGGAGUACCUGAGAAAAGUCAGCGAAUUGUGUAUCAUGUUCUUCUUACCUCGAAGUUAUUCCCUUUCACUAUCAAAAUUCCUCCUGCGAGAAGUAAUCGCAUGUAAAAUCCUCAAACCUGCCAUCGAUUUAAUAACGGAUCCCGAUUAUAUCAACCAAAAAAUUCUACUCUACAUAGAGCAGCAACAGUUAACGGAAGCUAUGCAUAGAAAAACUUAUGAGUAUGCCGAGUCAUUUGAAGACUUUAUUUGUAUGAUACGGAGCUCAAAGGACCUGGAGGUUCUAAAGCACAUCAGAUACAAUAUCGUAACCGAAAUCAUGCAAGCAACAACUGUACAGAAUAUAAAAAGGAGUCAGGGAUUAGAUCCAGAAAACAAUGCUUUCAGCAAGUGCGAUGGGACCCAGGCUAGAAAACUAAAGAGGUACAUUAGUCAAUUGACGUACGCCAAAAAUACAUGCGAAUCUCAAAUGCAAACAUUAGGCUGGGACGGGUGUCCGAUUCAGGAAAGUGACAUAUCAGAUCCUACUGCCAUUGCGGAGGGAAGAGUCUUGCCACUGCAGACGAUCCUGGACAACGUGACAGGACGCCGAUACCUAUCUCAAUUCUUGGAGCAGGUCUCCAGUCAGGGUCUUAUUGGAUACUGGGCAGCGGUUCAAGAAUUAAGGGCCUCCGAGAGAUCUAACUGGCACCAGCUGGGCGCUGAGAUAUUUUACACUUAUAUUCGAUCUCCUACCGCGGAGAUUAAAGUCGACAAGAAUGUCAGGAAGAGAAUGGAGAGUUUCCUCCUCGGUGACAAGGGUCCUGAUGUCUUCUACGAGGUGCAGGAGUCCGUCGUCAAGACGAUCGAAGAGAAGUACUAUUCCUCCUUCCUAGUUAGCGAGCAGUAUAAGAAGAUGCAAGAAGCACUGCUGAGUGAGAGAGCUGAUGGUCUGUCGGAGGAUCGACAGUCGAUCGAUGGAGCCAUCUCUGAAACCGCAGCCCUACUCGUCGUCGAACAUUCCAACUACGCUCGCAGCAAGUUUGAUCAACUACAGGAGAAGCUUAACAACAAGAUGCAGGCUCUUCAAGCUCUCAAAUCCUCUCUGAAGCCGGAGAGUCGAGUCUUGAGCAUCUUAGCGAAGGAAGUCGAGUGGCUGCAAGGAGAGAAAAGACAGCUCGAGGCACAUUUGAAUCAUACCGAAAUGUGGGCAGAACAUUUGGGUCACUGGAGGGCGGACGUCCAGAGUGCGGAAAUUCCAGAUAACGGGGACUCUCCUCAGUUCGUUCUUGUGGUUCACAUGGCGGAGGACGAGGGCAACUUGGAGAGCAUCUCCACAGGAUGGGUGGUUCUCCGCAGGCUGCCAGAAUUUCAAGAGCUUCAUCGAAAGCUGCGACAGCUUUGCUCCAAUGUUAAGAAUCUUGAGCUUCCCUCGCAACCCAUCAAGUUCUUUGGCAAGUCUGACAAAAGCACCUUGGACAAGGCUAAGGUCCAGAUACAGAAAUACCUGAACUUUGUCCUGGAAGAUGAGAGACUGAAUCAAAGCGAAGCUCUUUAUGCAUUUCUAAGUCCUAGCUCGGAGCAUCUGAAGCACACUGCUCCGUCCCCCAAGAAAUCUAGAUUUUCCUUAUCGACUCUAUUUAAAUCAUCCAGUGGUAGUGGAGAUUCACGAGAAAGAGAUGAAGAAGAGGACUACUCGUUGUUGCUAGAUGACAACGAGUCAGGUCGCACUGUAACCGAUGGUUACUUGGGCCCUGGAAAAGAUGCUAUCGCAGAGCCUCUGUAUGCACUCUUGGGAGAAGUCUUCGAUCUUAGAGGAGUGUUUCGAUGGCUCAGGCGAUCGUUGAUCACCUUUGUGCAAAUCACGUAUGGAAGAACAAUAAAUAGGCAAGUUAGAGAUAGCGUAGCCUGGAUAUUUUCCGAGCCCAUGUUGCACUAUUACAUUCAAUUAUUUACAAAAUCCUGGUGGCCUAACGGUCAACUGGUCGCGGCUGUAGUCACUCGAACGGAUGAAGAAAAGUUGAAAACUAGAGGGGAGGCUCGAAGGCAGUUUCUCAACAACGUACCUGAUGUACUGACGAACCUGGUGGGAGCACAAAGUGCUCAACGUGGCGCUAUUAAAGUAUUUGACACUUUACAGAACGUAAACCUAAACAAGCAGCUAUUCUAUGACAUAUUUGAGGUAUUGAUGUAUGAAGUCUUUCCAGAGCUUCAACACAAGUAACACUGCUUACAUUUAAACCAGCCAAUGUAUAAAAGACGAACAGGAUUAUAAAGACUAUUUUUUUACAUUUUCGAAUAUUCCAUUGAUAACAGAAGUUUACUAGCCUAACAUCAUCUUGCAGUGUAUCGAUUUAUUUCUUAAAACGGACAACAUAAACUCGUAACAAUGACUUACCACACGCCCUUCGGGGUGAACCAGCAGUAUUAAACUUGGACCAACCCUCGGGUCGAACUCAACAGGGAGGACGAUUCUGGCAUUCUGAUUAAUAAUCCGUGAAUAAUGAACACUGCUCUCCCGAUCGACAUACAGGUUACUUCAAAACGUGACGAGUAUCAAUUAUUACUAGUACUAAAAAAAAUUAUUGUGGAUUCAUUAUACUGUGUCUUUUAGGUUAGAAUGGGCACGUUCGAUAGGUCUUCACUUAAACCGUCUACAGGGAGUCUGGUCAGAAAUAUUUUAUAUACAAGUCAAUUUUUCCUGCAGUGUAGUUUCGAUCGUUAUUCCUAUUGAAUGAAUGUUCAAAUAACAAUGAGGUGCUAACUACCAAAGACAUCAGUGGUGACUUAUCGCAAUUUAUUCGUUGUACUAUUGUUUCGUACCUCUGAUUUGUUACAGAUAGGAUUUUAUAUAAAACUUGUUUAGUUGUAUCUCCUUGUUAAUUUUUCUUCGUAAUUUGAGGUCAUUUAAACCGUGUCUUACGAUGUGCCUGCACCUAAUUUAGGUUAUCGUUACUGAAAAGAAAGGUAUUCGAGUGGCUAAUGUCCAGCGAACUGUGCAAAAUAGGAGCGAUUUAUUCCCGAAUUCAACAGCAAUCACUGUCGUUUCUUUACUCCGUGUUCAAUCGAAGCGGUUAAUGUUCUAGCCCUGUCCUAUGCGCGUAAAACUAUUUUAUGAACCGAGUGACUAUAAUCUGUUGAUUAGUAAUAAGUUGCAGUAGAAUAAGGCAUUUAUCUAUUAUGGAACUCUAUCUCGUUACGAGGAGGUACGUCGGCAAGGAGCCUCCUAGUGUUACGAUCAGCUGUCAAUGUACCAUAAUUGUGCAAUGUGUUCGAUACGUUCAGGUGAAAUAAAAAUACUCAAGGAAACUGAUCGGUUUGUCCCUAUCAAUGAGUAGUUGAAUCAAGAUCAUUACAUAGGAUACAGAAUAUUUUAUUUCUGCGCCAUGCGAGGCAACAUGGCGCACAAAUACGUUUAAACAAUCUUCUAAAAGUACUUGCAACUCCUAUACAAAUAGUACAAUAUAGUGUCAUCCCUUAUGUUACAACCGUAGUAGUAAUUAAACAUAGCGAUACAUACGUUUAUGUACACAUGUAUAACAUUAGACUGGUUUUGGCACCGAGACAGUACGAAUACGAGAUCAUAUAGAAAAGACUCGCCCUCGGAGGAGCUUCUUCACAUUUUCUCUUUCUCACUCUCGCUCUCACUUGCUCUCGUUAUCUCUUUCUUUCUUCUCUCUCUCUCUCUCCCGUUCGAAAUUAAACGAAUUAUUACUUUAUUAAUUUAUUGAUCGAGUGAACGUUUAUUUUUUCUCUCAGGGUUCCUCGACUUCCGCCAUCGAAAGGGGACGAGGAGAAACAAAGAGCGGGCAACUCUGUCGGCUCUUGACAUUAAUUGACCUAUGACCUAAUCGAGUCGGUCCUCGUAAGUAAUGAGAAUGACAUAAUUAAUGAAUUACCGUACGUAUACCUAACACUUAGGACGAUAAUUGCAUCGCGCUUUUGCCCUCCCUCGACUUGUCGUUUGUCCGACACUUAGACUGUCCCUCGGUGAUUGAAAUUAAUUUUUUUUUCUCUUUUCUCCUUCCAAGGGACACUUUAAGACCCGAGCAAACCGGAAAAGGAGAGACGGCGUCGUCGAACGUCUUCGAUAUAACGCAUCUCUGAUAUCUUUUCUUUAUAAUACUUCCUCGUGGGGUAGGAACACUGUAAUAGUGGUAGUAAUAAUAACGUUAACGGUCUGCAUUUUAUACGGUGUCUAAAUAGGCUUACUUGGUCGGUUCAUCUGAGCCCUGAACUUCGCAAGGAACCCUCGUCGCUUGGUUCGUAAAAAUAGACAUUAAUAGUGGAGAACAAGGGUCGCUCCUUUACUCGCUAAACCGGCCCUAAAAAACCGUCCAGGCUUGACCCUUUAUUUAAUAAUUAAGUCCCACGCCGAUCUACUCGGGAAUUAUCACUCGAAAAUAUUUUCUGCCACACUCUCGAGGGUUCUCUCUCGGACUAGGUGCGACAAUCGUACAAAGGGUGAUAGAAAAUUAAUGAAAUUAAUAAUCGGGCCCCGGUUUAACGAACAACCAGGCGACCUGUAAAAAUGCCCAUGGCAUUUAAAAUAUCUCGAAGCGCGCGACGUCUUUUUCUCUCUUCUCUGUUGACUUUUGUCUCGGAGCAACAUCGAGAGUCAGAAAAUCUCGGAAAAUGUCGGAAAAUCUCACGGUAACAUCGCGCGCUUCUUUUAUAUACUUUUACCGUUUUCUUUUCUUUUUUUUCGGAAUUUUAUUUUCUUCCAAUCCCCUUUGACAUUUGCAUAACAAGUUUAUAAAUGUCAGGACGUCGGGUCGUCGUCGUGAUCGAGUUAGGGACAGUCGAACGACGUCGCCGACGAGCCUGGGAAGAGACCCUUUUCCCUCUUUUUCCUGCUUUUUCCUCCCUUUAAUGCGAAACGUGACCUGGGGAAUACCGGGGUGCAGCUUCCAGCGAAUCCUCUGCGGAGAUGGGCACAUCUAAUUGCAUCCAAUUUCGGCAAGGAUUUUCUUUUUUCUUCUUUUUCAACCGUGCAAAAAUCUAGCCCGAUCUGAUUUUUUCCUAGUCACUUUUUAAACAGCCGAUCGGACGCAAUUAGGUGAGGCGGUAAUUGAAUUACAAUUCGCUCAUCCCUCGCUCUUAUUUCGAGUUUAGGACCGUCUUCUCCCCUUAUUAAUAUGUAUAUAUAUAAAGAUAGAUAGGUAGCAUGCAUAUAUCGAUAACAUCUUGGAUGACGACAAUGGUGAACUAUACCGGAUAGUCGGAUACGUGUUGGGCUGUGGGGCGGUUCGGUUUCAGUAUUUCGGGUAUUUUGGUAUUUCGGGCAUUUCUGGUAUUUUCGUUAUUUCGGAUAUUCCGGGGGCGGAAAUCAAAUCUCGGACCCAGUUCCCUCAGUGGAGCUGGUAUUGUCUCGGGCUUCGCAAGACUGCGAUCGAGUAUUACUCUGAAUGUCUGGCUUUUUCAUUUAAGAAUCUCGAGUCGUCAAGAGAGUGCGCUUAACUGCGAUUUUUCCUGAAAUUGAUUCGAUUUCCCUUCCUCUCGUCCUGCGUAAAAAAAAGUAAAA
RNAcentral lists this unclassified non-coding RNA (6463 nucleotides) under Orussus abietinus. RNAcentral describes it as "sorting nexin-25, transcript variant X1". The record is from RNAcentral. Lineage: Eukaryota; Metazoa; Arthropoda; Insecta; Hymenoptera; Orussidae.